GGUAUCGAGUAGUCGAUUUAUUUUGAGUGGUAAAGUUUGUCGGGGUGUGAUAAGAAAAAUAUUUUUGAGGGAAAGUAAGAAGAAGAGUGUUUUGGUUCGGCGAUAGGAGAGGAGUACUGUAAAGGAAGGUUGAAAUAGUCUUAGAGUCGGUCAAGAGGAAAGUAGGAGUGGGAUGUUGUACCUUGUGUAUUAGGGAUAUUUUAUUUACAUUAAUUAUUUUAUUUAUCCCGAAAGAGAGAGAGCUAAGUUGGAAAGGGAGUUUUUGUAGUAAAAAGAUUUAGGAUGCUGAUUUAGUGGUGAAAUGUUAGUCGAGCUUUUUAAUAUCUGGUUUCUUUGGAAAUAAAUUGAAUUUAGCGUUUAUAUAGCAGUCAGGUAAAAUGAAGGGGCAGGAGGGGAGAGCUUUUUGUUUAAAUUUUUAGUACUUUAGGAAGGGGGAUACAAAAGAGGGGUUUAGCUAGGCUUAGAGGUAGCUUUGCGGGUAAAGUGUUAUAACUAAGAUUAAUUUUUUAAUAAUUUUUUUUUGCUUUUUAGAGGAGUACAAGGGAGAACUUUGAUCCGGAGUUUAAGUUGGAAAAAUGGAUGUAUUAGUAUAUUGGUGGAGUGGAAUAAAGAGAAAAUAGUGGAAUAAAUGGAAAUUUUAAUUAGGGCUAUUCUUAAUAGAGGAAUUCGGCAAAUUUUAUUUCCGCCUGUUUAUCAAAAACAUCUCUGUAUGAGAGAUCUAUAGAGUCUGACCUGCCCGUUGGAAACUGAAAGGCCGCGGUAUUUUGACCGUGCGAAGGUAGCAUAAUCAUUAGUCUUUUAAUUGGAGGCUUGGAUGAAGGGUUGGACGAGAAAUUAGCUGUCUUUGUUGGGGGAAUGGAAUUUAACUUUUAAGUGAGAGGGCUUAAAUGAGCUAAAGGGACGAUAAGACCCUAUAAAGUUUGACACUAACUCCAAUAGAGGGGCUAAGUGAGUUAAGUAAAAUUAAUUAGUGGGAAGGUGUUUUGUUGGGGCGACAAAGAUAUAAGAAAUUUAACUGUCUUUAGGUUAAGCCAGAGAUAUUUGUAGAAGGAGAUCCUUGUUAAAGGUGCUAGAAUAAAUUACUUUAGGGAUAACAGCGUGAUUUUCUUUGAGAGUUCCUAUCGACGAGAGAGUUUGCGACCUCGAUGUUGAAUUAAAGAGUCUUUACGGCGUAGCGGCUGUGGAAGAGGGUCUGUUCGACCUUUAAAUCUUUACAUGAUUUGAGUUCAGACCGGUGUGAGCCAGGUUGGUUUCUAUCUUUUAGGCUAGGUAGAAGUUACUUUAGUACGAAAGGAUUGAGUAGCUGAAAUAUUUUUCGUAAAAUUUAGAAGAAAAAAAAGUGCCCUUGGGUUUUGGUGCGUGUAAGUGUAAAGAGCACAGAA
RNAcentral lists this ribosomal RNA (1382 nucleotides) under Engaeus lyelli. Its description in RNAcentral is "l-rRNA". The stretch from base 627 to 1382 matches the Rfam family "Archaeal large subunit ribosomal RNA", at positions 1423 to 2881 of the family's 2987-position model. Lineage: Eukaryota; Metazoa; Arthropoda; Malacostraca; Decapoda; Parastacidae. The record is from RNAcentral.